UGUUCGGGCAUUCGGGUGGGCGACCCGCGUAGGCGUGUGAAAGGCCCGCUUCGAUAAGAGGGUAGGAGCGGCAUCUCUGGUUACAGGGUCCGGCAAAGUGCAAAGGGUAGAGUCCAGGUUGGACAGCACCUCAUCUAGCCAUGGCGGCGUCUGGGGAGCCUCGGAGGCAGUGGCAGGAGGAGGUGGCGGCGGUGGUAGUGGUGGGCUCCUGCGUGACCGACCUGGUCAGUCUGACUUCUCGUUUGCCAAAAACUGGAGAAACCAUCCACGGACACAAGUUUUUUAUUGGCUUUGGAGGGAAAGGUGCCAACCAGUGUGUCCAAGCUGCUAAGCUUGGAGCAAAGACGUCCAUGGUGUGCAAGGUUGGCAAGGAUUCUUUUGGCAAUGAUUAUAUAGAAAACUUAAAACAGAAUGAUAUUUCUACAGAAUUUACAUAUCAGACUAAAGAUGCUGCUACAGGAGCUGCUUCUAUAAUUGUCAAUGAUGAAGGCCAGAAUAUCAUCGUCAUAGUGGCAGGAGCAAAUUUACUUCUGAAUACUGAAGACCUGAAGGAAGCAGCCAGUGUCAUUAGCCAAGCCAAAGUCAUGAUCUGCCAGCUAGAAAUAACUCCAGCAACUUCUUUGGAAGCUCUGACAAUGGCCCAUAGCAAUGGAGUGAAAACAUUGUUCAAUCCAGCUCCUGCCAUUGCUGACCUGGAUCCGCAGUUCUACAGCCUCUCGGACGUGUUCUGCUGCAAUGAAAGCGAGGCUGAGACUUUAACAGGCCUCACGGUGGGCAACCCAGAAGAGGCUGGGAAAGCUGCAAUGGUACUCCUGGCAAGGGGCUGCAAGGUUGUAAUCAUCACCUUGGGGGACAAAGGAUGUGUGUUGCUGUCCCAGACAGAACCUGUCCCAAAGCACAUUCCCACAGAAAAGGUCAAGGCUGUGGAUACCACGAACAACCCUGCAAGAUGGGCUCUUGCCUGUUUUAGAGAGGAAGAAACUGACUCCUGGUUAUAUGACCUGCCUGGGGACAUACAAUUGAUCUUCAGAAGCUGCCAGAUCUUGAAAAGGCCUUGCUUACUUUGUACGGUACCCUGUGAACUCACUUAAAUAAUCCACGCAUACCCUGAGAACAGUGCCUGGCUCACGUAAGCACUCAGUAAAUGUUAGCUCAUCAGUGUGUCUUGCGAUAUCUCAUUAUUUAUUUUAUGUGGACCAUUUGGAGUUACUAGAUAACUUGUACCAGGAACUUGCUCCACCCACUGUCUGGCAGAAUGGACAUUACCUGAGCCAGAGAACACUCAGGUCCCAUCACCAUUCCACUCCAGCCUCUCUCUCCACAGGGAAAGGGCUGGAAUACCUGGGAGUGGUGUGGCAGGAUUGUGCCCAUUCCAGAGAGCAAAGACUCUGGCACAAUUCACAUCCAUUUGUUUUCUCUCUCUUUUUUUUUUUUUUUUUUAAUUAGGUACAUCAAUGGAUGACAGGACUCAUUUGGUUUUUGUUUUGUUUUGUUAAAUAUUAAUUUUUUCAGUGGUAGUUGGACACAAUACCUUUAUUUUAUUUAUUUAUUUUUCUGUGGUGCUGAGGAUCAAACCCAGGACCUCACACGUGCUUGGCAAGCGCUCUACCCCUGAGCCACAACCCCGGCCCAGGACUCAUUUGUUUUAUUUAUGUAUUUUAAUUGUUUGUGGUGCUGGGGGUCAAACCCAGGGCUUUAAGCUUGCUAGGGAAGCCCUCUACUUGUGAGCCCCAGCCCCUCCAUUCAUUCUUGUCACUGGAUGAGAGAGAGAGACACUACUUUGAAAGACUAUAAUCAAAUAAUCUUUUCACUAAACUUCUUUAAUUAGGAACCUGAACUGCUAACUAUAAAGCCUAGUGACAAUGUGAUUCCUCUUUUUUAACAUUUCCAAACUAGCUUUCUAAUUGGGGGAGGGGGGCGGGGGGGAUACUCACACUGCCCUGUCUAGCAAACUCUUACCCAUCCUCAAAGCCUAGCCUGGAGAGUCUUUUGGGGAAAUUCAGUGCUGAAAACAAUGCUUAGUCUACAAUAAUGGCUCUCUGUAAAUAAAGAAAGAGUUCUAUUUCCUUCUGGGAAAAUAACUAGUCUGAGCACAAGAGUCACUUUUCAGUUUUCUCAGUGGAUUAGAAUCUUCAGGGCUGUUUACAUUCCUCACAUUCCACAUUUAAGAUGCCUAGAGAAAGAAGAAUCUGAGGUACAAACACUCUUUUUAAGUGAUUUGAAAAUGAAGUAAUUCUCCCCCAUUUUCCAUUUGAAAACAUAUCUUCAGAUUGUUUUACCUGCAGUUUUAUAAAGGCCAGGCCAAAAGAAGAAGAAGAAGUUAGCGAAAAUGAAUGACACCUCUGAACUUGGCAUCAGAGAACAAAGAAAACUCAACUGAGGUUCUGGAAUAGCCCUCCCAGCCCUGGGAAUAAUAUCAUAAAACUCUGUGCGAACUCUGCACACACUGGCUGCCAGAAAAGAUGAAGAAGGCAAAGAGAAGUUCACUGACUGUAAAGAAAGGGUGGAGGACAAGGUAAUUGCCAAGGAGGCGAUAGACAAGGCACAAGACAUCUGCCAUGCCCAGGGGGCCGUGCUGGCUCUAUUACAUUACUUCCACAUCAGCACAUCACCUCAUUUAUUAGCUAAUCAGGCAGAAUUCAAUAUUUGAAAUUAUCUUUCUUAUUCCUGCAUGUGAUCAGUUGAAAACCCAGGGCUCUAAAAAUCUAAUUGUAAUUGCUUACCAGAAAUGUCAUCUUCACUUGGAAGAAUUGAACCAAGGCCAAAUGUGAGGGUAUUUUUUUUUCUGUUUUCCCAAAGUACUGUCCCCCAGGACUGGAUAUGCAUUUACAGGUCCCCAGUACCCUACAUUCUAGGGCUCCCUGAAGAGAUGUGGGCACUGGUCCUACUUCCAGACUCAGAUAUGACAUAAAACUAAAGGUAGUGUGUGGCCAUGGAGAAGGGGGCAUGGAAGGGAAGGAACAAUAAUUUAAGCCUUAGCAAAAGUCAAGAGAGAAACAUCUGAAUCUAGAUAAGAGUUGGGCCUGGGCAGGAAGUAGUCCCUCUGCCCAACAGGAAGGGAAGGCAUGAUGUGGCAGAGCUUGCUUGCUCAUCCAUGAUCGGGCUUUUUUUCUUCGCACCCUACACCUCAGCCCCACUUCUCAGUGUGACAGCGUGGCAGUGAGCCUUUGGUCAGCUCCUUGCCUGUUUUCCUAGGCUGCUCAAGUGGUCUUCCCGAGACAGACCUGCAGGACUCUGCUGUAGGUCUUCCAAGUGUCUUCCACAGAGUGGGUGUCUCCUGGGGAAACCUGAAACUAUGAGGAGAUGAGAAAAUUACCUGGAAUCCAACUGUCCCCUUGGCCCCAGUGCCCAUCACUGCUGGUGGAAGUAGGCAAGGGAAUGGAAGAAUGGUAUGUGGCUCACAGCCUGCUGGACAUCAGCCUGCCCUUUGUAUGAACCUAGCGGUGCAGGUUGUAGGCUGGUGACGUGCACUUUGUGUGUUAAUUGUCCUGAUGACAUGUGCUGUGUUUGAAUGACCUGUUAGUGGCACAAAUACCUUGUGUGUGUGUUUGUGGUGGUUUGUAUGUGCACAGAAUACAGUGGAAUAGAGUUAAAAGCUUAAAUCUUUAAAGCGAGUCUCUCUUGCUUUCCUCGUACUACUUCUAUUCCUUUCAAAAUAUAUAAAGAAAAGUGCUUUAUACAAUGGUCCACCCCUGAAAAGGGUAUUUGAUUUGGGAAUAAAAGGAGUCCAGAGUAUAUCUUCCCUGAGAGAUUCUCUAAAAAUUAAAAUCUUUAUAUUCCUUUCUUCUCUUGGUCAAAACAAACCAAAACUGGAAAAAAGAAAGACUAUGUUUAUAACUACUAAAUAACUUUCCUGUUCCUAGUUAGAAAAAUCCUCCUUCUCUAUUUGUCCUUCUCUGUAUUAACUUUUAGUGUUAGAAUUUAGAAAUCUAAUCAUUUAGACCUCAUUAUAAGUGACUAUAAUUUGCUUCAAAUACAUAUAUUUACUGCUUGCCUCACUAGUCCCAAAGAACCAGCUUCUGUAGGAACCUUGACUGUAGCAUCUCACUCUGCUUGAAACCCACCUCUGUCUGUCCAUGAGCAUUAAAACCCAAGCCUUAAGAUUAUAAAGACCACAACCCCCCAGGACAGCCAUAGUUCAUGCACUUAGCUUUCUGCCUCUUGGUUCCAUAUUUGGUUUUGGAUUCUGGAAAAAUCCUCUAGUUAGGCAUAGUUACAGUGAUGAGGUUUCUGUUUCAUCCUGGGCAUCUGGAGGGUUUUCAGGUCUCUAGGCCACAACGUUGCUUGAAAGAGGAGGUUAAGUGGGGUCUCAUCGCAUCCAAUGACCACAGACAGGAUUCUUGGGCUGCCUGUCAUCUUAUUCUCAGAGCAUUAUGGGAGUUCCAGGAUUCAUUUAACAAAAUGUGCCUCUAGAGCUGGAAACAGUUCUUUAAGAAAUGGAAACUUCCUGAGGUUGUGGCUCAGCAGUAGAGCAUUCGCCUAGCACAUGCAGGGGCCCUGGGUUCGAUCCUCAGCACCACAUAGAAAUAAAUAAACAAAACAGAGGUAUUUGUCCAUCUAUAACUAAAAAUAUAUAUUUUUUUAAAAAAGGGAAAAAAAAGAAGUGUGUCACAUUAGAUUGGGUAGAGAGAUGUGAUGGGAGGGGAAGGGGGGAUAGGAAGGGCAGCAGAAUAAAAUAGGCAUUAUUAUUGCUGUAUGUUUAUAGGUGACUGUAUAACCAAUGUGAUUCUGCAACUUGUACAAUCAGAAAAAUGAGAAAUUAUACUCCAUUUGAUUCAAAUGUAUGAAUUGUCAAGAUCAUUGUAUUGCCAUGUGUAACUAAUAAAAAAAAUUCAUCAAACAGAUUAAAAAAAAAAUAAAAAAAAAGAAAUGGAAACUUCCUCAAGAUACUGAGGCAGGAAGAUUGUAAGUUAAGACCAGCUUAGGCAAUUUAGCAAGACUCUUAAAAUAAGGGCUGGGCCUGUAGCUCAAUGGUAGAGCACUUGCCUGACAUGUGCCAGGCACUGGGUUCAAUUCCCAGUAAUGCGAACAGAGAGAAAAGAAAUAAAAGAAAAGGAAAAGGGUUGGUGGGGGGUAUGAAAUGAGAAGUUCCUCUAUAGGAAAGUAUGGCAAUCUGGUGAUGAGCUCCUACUAUGAACCCAUUUAUUCGGCUCACUUUGAAAUUUCUGCACGCCACACGUGGGACACAGGCUGGUGUAACAGGUGUAGUAAGAUAGCCCCUGGCCACAGAGAGCUUGGAACCUAGAAGACUAUGCAGCCCACAGGGUCAGAAUGAGAAGUGCAGAGGCGGGGAUGCCCCUGGGUGCUGUGGUAGCCCAGGGAAGCUGCUUGAGAGGGGAAAGGAAGGGGUGGGCAGAGGGAUAUGCCAGAGGCAGCUUGGUAGGGGGUAGCCGGGAAGAGUGGUAGCAGCUCAUCACACACCUGGAAGGUAGGAGGAGCUCUAACUGGAAUGAGUUCAGGAUACAAGAAAAAAAUGCAGGAGCUGUGGUGGUUGUGGCUCAGUGGUAGUGCACUUGACUCGCAUGUGUGACUCACUGGGUUUGAGUGUCAGCACUGAAUAUAAAUAAAUGAAUAAAAUAAAGUUCCACCAACAACUAAAAAAAAAAUUUUUUUAAAUGCAGAAGGGUGAGGUGGAGAGGGGACAGGGAUGGGUUGUGAAGCCUUCACUCCACACAUCCUCCACACUAGGGGUUAAUGCUUUCUUCUAAGGGCAGGGGGAACCACUGAAGAUUUUAAGCAGGGGAUAGAUUGGGUCCUACUUAAACUUCAUAUAAAGAUUAAUGUGGCUGUAGCAUAAAGAAGAAAUUGGAAAUUAUGAGACUGGAGGCAGGGAAAACAGGCCAGAGGCUUCAGUAUUGAUCUGGGUAGGAAAUGAUGGCAGCCUAGACUGGAGAAGCGGCAAUGGGCAUGUUGAGCAGAGGGUAUGAGAGCUCUUAAGAAUUUAGAAGAUGCACAGUAGUUCAUUUCCUUUAAAAAAAAAAAAGUGGGAGGAGGGAGACUAAGUUAGGUGGUCAUUUCAUGUUCAAAACAAACAUUCUGGGGGCUGGGAUGGGGCUCAGUGGUAGAGCGCUUGCCUUGCACGUGUGAGGCCCUGGGUUCCAUCCUCAGCACCACAUAAAAAUAAAUAAAUAAAAUAAAGGUAUUGUGUUAUGUACAACUAAAAAAAAUUUAAAAAACAAAUAAAUAUUCUGGCAGUCUCAGUGUUUUUCCACGUUUUUGUUUUGGGGGGGCUGAGGAGAGGAAGUGGGUACCAGGGAUUGAAGUCAGGGACACUCAAACACUAAGUCACAUCCCCAGCCAUAUUUUGUAUUUUAUUUACAGAUAGGGUCUCACUGAGUUGCUUGGCAGCCUUGCUUUUGCUGAGGCUGGCUUUGAACUCAUGAUCCUCCUGUCUCAGCCUCCUGAACCACUGUUUCCAUUGUGAGUAUCAUCAGUGGUUGCAGGUAGCACAGGGAGAUACCCAUAUAUUUUACAAAAGAUAAAAAUCUCAGGCAAUUUCCACAUGCCUUUCCACUGGGCAUAUAUAUAUACAUGCCUCCCCAUUUGGGGGAAUCACUCAUCUGCAUAACAGACAAGAAUUUGGAGCAGAAAUAUAGCUUUCAUUUCAAGUAAGUAACAAUCUAGGCAUGGUGGCACACACCUGUAACCCCCGAGGUUGGGAAGGCUGAGACAGGAGGAUUGAGUUCAAAGCCAGCCUCAGAAACUUAGCAAGGACCUAAAGGCCUAAAAUUACAAAAGGGCUAGGGAUGUGGCUCAGUGGUUCAGCAUCCCUCAGUUCAAUCCCCAGUGCAAGCAAGCAAGCAAGCAAAUAAAUAAAUAAAUACAUACAUACAUACAUACAUACAUACAUAAAGUGAUAACAUUUGAAGGAAGCUUUUGCAGUGUGACGCAGUUCAGAUACUGUGCCGUACCACACACGCUUUAGAUGCUAGCUUACUGUCAAUAGAAACAUGGCCUCACGUAACUAUGCUUCCUUCCCGAUGAAGUGACAGAUUGGCCAGCAUGUGAUGAAUUUGGGUUGUGUAGAUAAAAAUACCAGGUGUGCCAGCCAAGGCAUACAGUUUGCUGUAAAUCACCCACAUCAACUUUCAGGACAGUUAGAGUCACAGAACAAUUGCUCAGUUCCUUCCUUCAUUUUCACAGUGUGGACCUGGCUCCAGACCCAAGAGUGAAGCAGCAACUUUAAGAAAGCAGAAACAUUAAUAAUAACCCAAAGAACCCUUUUAUAAUAGCAACUGCCUGCUGAUUUUGUGGCCUAACAGCUCAAGCAGAAAAGGAUAUAAAUACAAUAUUGUGCAAUGACUAAUUACUCAAAACUCUGUGCAUCAGCAGAAGUGGAACCUGCGGUUGGUGCUAAUGUUAUCAAAUGCCUUUGCUGUUUAAUAAUCUGUAGCUUUAUAUUAUCUAGCAUGGAAUUUUCACAGAAAACAAUGAUUGUAUUUCAAGUACCUCUCACUGAAAUUAAAAAGCAGCUGUUAAAAGAUGAACAUUUGGCAGAAGAUGUUCUAGCAAAUCUUGUAAGAUACUAAAUCAUAUGGGAUUAACUAUUUUCUGUCUAAAGAGUGGAGUCACAAAGAAAAAAGAUUGCUGACCACAGAAGGCAAGGCCAGUCUUUAGAACAAGUGAAUCACUAACAGACCUUUUAGUUUUAAGUGCCAUUUAUUCACCGAUAUAUUAAGUUAUUUAUACACAAAGCUUUCAUUAAUGUUGCCUGAAGAAUGGGCCCUUUUUUAUUCCAUUUUUAGCUCAUACUCAAGAUUCCAUUUCUCUUUCAUUAAUUAUAGAAUAAAUUAAUCCGCCACAGACAUUUUGGGCAGAAUGGGGGUUUGAGACAGUUUUCAGUCUCCAGGGGCCAUCUUCCUCUAUGGCUAGCCAUACAGCAGAGAGUAAGGGCUGUGGCUGAGGGCAGCGCCUGCCAGCACUGCCACUCAGGCCCUGCCUGGGAACCUGAGGAGGCAGAGUAUGUGUGGCCUACCCACUCCAGGUUCACAGUGUCCCACAAAUGUUCUUUGAGCUGGCCAACCACUGGCCCAACUAGGAAUGAACCAGUGAGGAAGUGACAUCAUGACACAGUUGCUGGGCAUAGCCCGUUUCAGCUUUAAUGUUUUAUUGACAGGGAGGUUUUUACAUUGCUAAUAUAAUUGUAAGUAAAACAUGAAAUGCUCCUUUUUAAAAUUAUCAGGCAGCAUGUAAACAGCUUUUCCUCAGUUCCUAUUCCUGGAAUAGAGUGGGUGAUGGGUGGAAUUUUUAAAUGGAGGGAGGACUCAGAGAUAACUGAGGAUGGCUUACAGUGGGGAACCCAGGCUUGGCUGAGGGGAAAUGAAGUGAAGAAAGGAGUUGACUCAGGCAUGUCUGCUUUGCAUAUCAUUCAGUGAUAGGAGACAGUGCGUCUGCCUUUUUAUGAAGUCGUUAGGAUUCAAGUGUUAGCUCAAAACAGCUUCAUCACAACACUCUACAUCAGUGCUGGUGUGACUGACCAGCUCAGAGGCCAUCACCAGCUGAUGAAGCUGAGAGUGGACCUGAGUGGACAUAGGCAGGCCCAGAUGGAGCCAGCAAAUGGCCUCUGUCAGUAUGAACCAUUGGCUAACUUGGAUCAGGAGCCAUUUCACCAACAGUGGGGCCAGAUCUCUGAUGCAGUCAACACCACAGCCACGUGCCCCAUGUGUGAAGUGUGAGGUGGCCAAACACACUGUAUCCAACAGGAAGUUUUUUUGUCUUUGUUUCAAUUUUAGAUUAAAUCCCAGUGGGGCGAUUAUUGUGAUUACCUGUACUCUUGCAAAUGGUUACUAAAUACUAGUAGGGCACUAAUACAUGAGAAUCUGGAAGCUCUGGGAUGAAGGUUGGCAGAGUUUUUCUUGUUCUACAGUAGUUGAAAUUUAAUCAAUAUAUUGAAAAUGGAAAGGCCACUGUCAUUUUUAAUACCACUUACAGUCUCUGUGGGCAGUGAAAUGGUGCCCUGAACAUACCUCAGCCCCACCUUACUUUGAUUUUACACUUGACCUCCCAUUGAUCCUUCUCUGUUCUCAUCUAUCUAAAUGAAAGAAUACUUUAGCCCCAUAAACCUCAUUCUGGAUAGAAAUACAUAAUUCAAGAGGAAUACUGAUGUCAAAGAAGAAAAGGCACACCAAUUUGUGUCAGCAUUUGCUGUAAAUUAAAGAGGAGUACAAGGAGAGUUUAAUGUAAUGUAGAGUUGAAAUUAAAAUAGAACCAAUAUUUAGGCAUUCCUCCGCCUCUUAUUUCCCUGCUGUGACAUGAAAGAUUGACUUUCUCCCAGCCUAAGUAUUAAUGUAUUUCAUUUUUUUCUUUUCCACUGGGAUUUUUUCCCCAUAAAAUGUUACAUGUUUAUCAAUGGCAUCUGAAUUUGAACUUUUUCACUGGUUCCAUUCUUAAUCACAACAGCAAAAGCCAGGGGAGAAAAGAGUUGGUUUCCCGUCAUGCUCCACUCCCUUCAUGUUUGCAGUCGAGGAAGGACCUCUGCCUGCUUAUCUGCUGUCAUGAGCUGUUGAUUCCCCUGGAUACUGAUUCUCUAAUGUGUCGCUUCCAUGGUGUCUUUUUCCAAAGCUGGAAAAUCAAAAAUAGAUAUGAACAAUGUACUGUUGUGUAUGGUUCACAGGAACCCUUUGGCACGAAUCCACCAGUGUCCUUCCCUGUAAAGCAGUCCCGGGAGCUUCACAUUUAGUUCUAUCCAGCUGCCUUUGUUCAGAACCUGUUUGAAGCUCCUUAUUCAGGUUUCCACCAGGGCUAGUUUUGCUCCUUACAGUUGCCUAUUGUUUGGGGUCAGUGGUGGACUCCCUAGCUUGAUUCUACAUCACUAGACUUGGUUUCAAGUGAUUCAGUCUUUCCAGAAAUAAAUUACUCUGGAGAGUGGUUCUCAAAGUGUGGCCCCUGACACCCCAGAAUAGCAGCAUCUGUAUCACCUGAGAAUUCAUUAGAAGUGCAAUUCCUGGGCCCCACAUUAGAUUUAAUAGAUCAGAAAGGCUGGGAGUGGAGCCCAGAAGCCUGUGUUAACUAACAAGCUAUCCACGCAAUUCUGACCUCUCUGCUCAAGUUUGAGAAACUCUGGUUUAGAAGAUAUGUUUGCUUCCAGGAAGGAUUUUCAAAGAUAUGCUACAAUUUUUGAUAGUAUUCCAAAAAAGUUUCAAAAUAUUUUUUGGCAAAGAUGGAAGACAUGUUUAUGGCCUCCCCAGAGGACAGUUAAUGGGACUGUGCUUCCACCAAAGGCACCCUAAUUGUGCCAUCUCACCAUGUCUUCAAGCCAUUUCUUACACUUGAUUUCUCAUCUGGAAAAUGAAAGAUUCACCCUUCUACCUCACAGGAUUGUAAUGAGAUUCAAAUUGAAUCACAUCUGCAAACAUGCCCGGUAAACCAGAAAGUGCUCUGUAAACGUGAAAGUCAAAUCACUCUGCAGGCAGUAUUCUGUGGUGCCAGCAUCACAUUCAAGGAUGUGAGUGGGAAAAGGCCUGUCAGCCAGAUCCACCUUUCUGUCUCCAUAGUGUCCUGGACAUGAUGGGUCUCAGAUUCGGCCAUUUCAGCUCAGCAGUUGAGAGAAAACCUUUGCCUGAGUAGUGACUGCAAGAGGCUAGGAAAUAUAGCCAUGAUCAGACAUGUUGUUUUCUCUGAGUCUCAGGAAAGCUCUGAGGAUCAGUGAGGGCAGACAGUGUUGUGUGAAUGCUGAGGCUCUCGUGCCCAAUACAUGGCUCAUAGCAGCCCUGGAAUGGUCUCUCCAGAAACCAUCUACUACAGGGCUGUUCAAGGGAAUCUUGACCUUUAAGAAGGAAGUUUAUUGCUACACAUUAAUCAUUACAGAAAACUGAAAAGAAAAUCCUCGGGCCAACCAAAUCUAUAGAACUGAGAUUUAUAAACCAGACCAGUUAAUGUGUCAGGGAAGAAUGUGGGUUGAUUUUUACCUCAGAGAUUAGCUUUUACAAACAAUUUCACCAUAGGAAUUGUUAAACAGCAAGCUCCUGAUGCAUUUAUAAUUUAAUUUGAAAACUUUGGUGAACACUUCUGAGCAAGAAGGAAGCUAAGCCUGUUGCCUCGGUGCUUAUUAGGAAUGAAGUUUCAGUAACACGGAGCAGUUCCCACUGGGCCAGUAUCAGCUUCACUUUUCACACAAAGUGCCAGCUAAAAUCAAGAGAUUAGGGUGCUGGUGACAGCUUUGUGGGAGCUCUGGCCUUCUACAUGGCUUAUUACCCAAAUUUGUCCUUGGAAGAAAUGCUCAGGAGAUCCAAUUUCAUCGCAGCAGUCAGUGUCCAAGCUGCAGGAACACAGUCAUCUUAUCCAUACAAAAAAGACCUUCCUCCUACUCUGUUCUGAUUACUGUUAUCCCUCAAGUAAAGAUACCUGGAAAUAAAAUGUACCUGAGGUGACCAUUCCUAGCUAA
Molecule: RNA transcript, 11383 nt
Organism: Marmota monax (woodchuck)
Lineage: Eukaryota; Metazoa; Chordata; Mammalia; Rodentia; Sciuridae
Gene: Rbks
Gene name: ribokinase
Exons: 10
Source: RefSeq, a predicted model, not a curated record